Molecule: non-coding RNA, 94 nt
Filed under: Enterobacter sp. BIGb0383
Lineage: Bacteria; Pseudomonadati; Pseudomonadota; Gammaproteobacteria; Enterobacterales; Enterobacteriaceae
Also listed under: 1 other name
Description: MicF RNA
Rfam family: MicF RNA
About the family: The micF gene is a stress response gene found in Escherichia coli and related bacteria that post-transcriptionally controls expression of the outer membrane porin gene ompF. The micF gene encodes a non-translated 93 nt antisense RNA that binds its target ompF mRNA and regulates ompF expression by inhibiting translation and inducing degradation of the message. In addition, other factors, such as the RNA chaperone protein StpA also play a role in this regulatory system.
Source: RNAcentral
CGCUAUCAUCAUUAACUUUAUUUAUUACCUUCAUUCAGCAAUGAAUGUCCGUUUCAAAUCAUUUCCACCGGGUGCUCUGCAUCCGGUUUUUUUU